Molecule: ribosomal RNA, 458 nt
Filed under: uncultured bacterium
Lineage: Bacteria
Description: partial 16S ribosomal RNA
Rfam family: Bacterial small subunit ribosomal RNA
Source: RNAcentral
AACGAAUGCUGGCGGCAGGCCUUACACAUGCAAGUCGAACGUGAAAGUCCUUCGGGAUGAGUAAAGUGGCGCACGGGUGAGUAACGCGUGGGAACAUGCCCUUCAGUACGGGAUAACAGCGGGAAACUGCUGCUAAUACCGUAUAUUCCCUACGGGGGAAAGAUUUAUCGCUGAAGGAUUGGCCCGCGUUAGAUUAGCUGGUUGGUGAGGUAAUGGCUCACCAAGGCUACGAUCUAUAGCCGGUCUGAGAGGACGAUCGGCCACACUGGAACUGAGACACGGUCCAGACUCCUACGGGAGGCAGCAGUGGGGAAUAUUGGACAAUGGGCGAAAGCCUGAUCCAGCCAUGCCGCGUGAGUGAUGAAGGCCUUAGGGUUGUAAAGCUCUUUUGGCGGGGAAGAUAAUGACGGUACCCGCAGAAUAAGCCCCGGCUAACUUCGUGCCAGCCGCUGCGGUAA